Molecule: non-coding RNA, 1399 nt
Organism: Oryctolagus cuniculus (rabbit)
Lineage: Eukaryota; Metazoa; Chordata; Mammalia; Lagomorpha; Leporidae
Source: RefSeq, a predicted model, not a curated record
ACACUAACCCCAAAGGGAGGAGGCGGGGCCCGCGCCCAGCAGCCCCUCCCCUUAUUUGCAUAACGUCAUCCUUCCGCCUCGCCGCGACCAAUCGCGGCUCGGGAGCGGGCCGGCUCGCCGAGCCAGGCCACGCUCCCUCAUUAACAUCCCUCCCCGGGUGGCGCGGGGGAGCCGGCUAAAGUUCCUCGCAAAGUGGCUAGCAAGGGAGCGCUGAACAUCGGGGUCUGCGGCUGGGAGGAGCGGGGCCGGAGCGGGGCCAGAGGGCAGGGGAGGGAUAUCCUUCCCAGGGAUUUGAGCUGGAAGAACGGGAGGGGGAGUCCGCAUCCUGGCGGUUGCCUUCCCCCUGCAUCCGCUCUGCGCCCUGAAAACGCUCGAGGCGCACACGGUGCGCCCUUCCAGGCCCAAGGCCGCGUCCUGAUCCGCAGUUCUGGGUCGUCGGGGGCAAAAGUGGAGGAGUCGGGACAGCCUGUGCAGAAAAGUCAGGACGCGCGUCCCAGCAGCCUGAGGAGAUUAAUGUGCCUGGAAGAUAAGAAUAAGCGGACAAGAUGAGUUUCAGGACAUCAUCCAGUCCCACCAGGCUAGAAUUCUGAAUCAGUGUUGGGUGACAGCAGGUUCAGAAAAAAUAGCACAGGUACUUUGAAGAUUAAAGCCUUCCUCCCACUAUUUUGAUGCUGGUGACCUUGAAGCAAGUUGCAUAACAUUUCUGAACCACAGGUGUCUCAUCUGCAUGGUAGUACACUCCUUAUCUUAAGAGGACAGAGAGGAGUCUGGCAUUGCCACUUCCAGAAAAGCAACAGAAGAUGGUCCAAGUGUCUGUGCCCCUGCAACCCACAUGGGAGACCCAGUUGGAGCUCCUGGAUCCUGGCUUUGGCUUGGGUUGGCCCUGGCUGUUGUGCCCAGUUUGGGGGUGAACCAGCAGGUAGAAGACCUCUCUCUCUUUCUCUCUCUCUCUCACUCCCUCCCCUGCCCCCCAUAACUCUAACUUUCAAAUAAAUAAAUAAUUUUUUUUUAAAAAAAAGAGAGGACAGAGUGAAUGGAAUUCUGUUGUGGCACCAGUUUGUGGAGAAGUGCUAAGUGUUGUUGUAAUGGACCAUAGCUCUACUGCAUUUCCCAGCUUCGUUUGAAGUUAGGUUGAGAUAGCAUUGGUGGAAGCCAUAUUAAGACAUGGUCCAGAAGCCCUCCCACAGAACUGCCACUCUUUCUCUUCCUUUCUAUGGGCUCAAUCAGAGGAUCUCAGCACUUGAAUUUGGGUCUUUGUAAUUCCCUCUGUAAAGGUCCAGAUAGCAUUAUGGGUUUCAUUAGCCAUAUAGUCUCACAAUUGUUUUACUCAACAAAGCAUGAUGAUAUGUCAACAAAUGGGUGUGGCUGUGUCCCAAUAAAAGUUUCUUUUCAAAAAGUU